This 467-nucleotide ribosomal RNA is filed under the name uncultured bacterium. Its description in RNAcentral is "partial 16S ribosomal RNA". It matches the Rfam family "Bacterial small subunit ribosomal RNA", at positions 28 to 507 of the family's 1533-position model. The record is from RNAcentral.
GAUGAACGCUGGCGGCGUGCUUAACACAUGCAAGUCGAACAGAAAGGCCAGUGCUUGCACUGGUGCUCGAGUGGCGAACGGGUGAGUAACACGUGGGUGAUCUGCCCUGCACUUUGGGAUAAGCCUGGGAAACUGGGUCUAAUACCAGAUAGGACCAUGCUUUGGAUGGUGUGGUGGAAAGUUUUUUCGGUGUGGGAUGAGCUUGCGGCCUAUCAGCUUGUUGGUGGGGUAAUGGCCUACCAAGGCGUCGACGGGUAGCCGGCCUGAGAGGGUGUACGGCCACAUUGGGACUGAGAUACGGCCCAGACUCCUACGGGAGGCAGCAGUGGGGAAUAUUGCACAAUGGGCGCAAGCCUGAUGUAGCGACGCCGCGUGGGGGAUGACGGCCUUCGGGUUGUAAACUCCUUUCGCAACUGACGAAGCUUUUUGUGACGGUAGGUUGAGAAGAAGCACCGGCUAACUACGUG